Molecule: long non-coding RNA, 719 nt
Organism: Ahaetulla prasina
Lineage: Eukaryota; Metazoa; Chordata; Lepidosauria; Squamata; Colubridae
Exons: 3
Source: RefSeq, a predicted model, not a curated record
CAGGAAACCACCAAACCACCACUAAGAAACAAUGUAAAUGAGAAAAUAUAGCAAGCAAUAUUCCAAAAUAAGGAGUACAAUGCCUGCAAAACAUAAAGUAAUGCAUUUUUCCUCUGAUUGCUUCGUUACCUCAAGAAAGCAUUUGAGCAGGGAUUUUAUAAUAUCUUCUGACUGCAACCAUACCAAAACACCCGCCAACUUUACCAACCAUUCAGAAUGUAUUAUUUAGUUUUGAUGACAGCUGUAAACAAUUAAGUUAUGGAGCACUUUCCAGAGUCUUGUGCACUCCAGAUCAUCACUUAGUAUGACUACAUGGUAUGACUGAAAUGAUACAAUUCUGACAACACUGGAAGUUGCAUCUUGUCUGAAUACAACAUUUUCAGAGGACAUAAAAUACCCCACUGCACUUUAUCCUGUUUACUGGGGGGAAAUUACACUUUUGACAAAAGAGAAGAUGUCAUAACAAAACUAAUUAAAAACAACAUGUUGAUUAGGAAUAUAAAUAAAUUCAAAAUUCUCACUAAUUCUCACACAUUGACUAAGAUACUGGAAGAAUGAAUGACAUUGGAGAUUCUUUACUAUAGCAAACUUGGCUCACUUGCUGUGAGGGUGGGCUCGAUCAACAUUUUCCUUAUGUUUUCUGCAUAGAUUUGCUGAUUAAAAGCAUUUUUACAAAUGCAUGAUCAAUUUUCUUUUUACUAAUGCAUUACCAAUAUGGA